UACGUAGGGUGCGAGCGUUGUCCGGAAUUAUUGGGCGUAAAGAGCUCGUAGGCGGUUUGUCGCGUCUGCCGUGAAAGUCCGGGGCUCAACUCCGGAUCUGCGGUGGGUACGGGCAGACUAGAGUGAUGUAGGGGAGACUGGAAUUCCUGGUGUAGCGGUGAAAUGCGCAGAUAUCAGGAAGAACACCCGUGGCUAAGGCGGCUCUCUAGUACGGUACUGACGCUGAGACGCGAAAGCGUGGGGAGCGAACAGG
This 253-nucleotide ribosomal RNA is filed under the name uncultured bacterium. Its description in RNAcentral is "partial 16S ribosomal RNA". It matches the Rfam family "Bacterial small subunit ribosomal RNA", at positions 524 to 776 of the family's 1533-position model. The record is from RNAcentral.